AGUGUAGAAUGUCAACAAGUCGUUUGAGUCCUGACCCUGAUUAUUGUAAUUAAUAUCGAGACAUACGAGGGCUGAUCAGGAAGGCAGCUGGGUCACAGUGACCGCAAGCUGUGGCCGUGAGCGGCGUGUGGCGCUUGAGUUGCCGCGAGUCGAUCAAAGGAUGGAAAACUCAAUCCUCGUCACAGCUGAGCUGUUGAUGUACAGUUGUUAGCCUCCACCAUCCCAGGAGAUGGUAAGGGUAGAGACUGUAAGAUGUUGUGUAUGACACACAGUGUGGGUGGUGCUGCAAGAUGCUGCAUGCAGACUCCGACUUGUCGCCUGGCGCCGCGCGGCUGUGUGUAGACCGCCUGCCUGUUGCUGCAACUGACUUCAAACAUCAUUUCUGAGAAAACAGAGGAUGACUCAUGAUGGCAGCAGGCAACACAAGUCUGUGAACAGUGAACAGGUACAGUGACUGUCUGCUACAGUCCUUAGCUGCUGACACGGAGUAAAACUACAAUCAUAGAAUAUCAGGAAGCUGCUGAAGGUGGUCACUUUGAGGAAAUCGAAGUUCGUCAGUCAUUGAUUGGCAGUGUGUGCCACACGGUGUGACAUGUCAUAGACAGCGACACCACAGCGGCCUGAGGCUGACAGUCAGACGUCAAUGCCCUUGGCUCAGGCGAGACAACUGUCAACCAUGUCUGAUCCUCCGCCGUCUGCUUCACAAGAGGUGAGGCGACUAGGAUGAUAAUAGAAAUUAAAAAUACAGCUAGCAGUAAUAUCAUCAAAGGUACAAGCAAAAGCAACACCACUUCAGACACACGUAGAAAUAAUGUCAUUGAAAUACCUGUAGAAACAAUACCUUCAAGUAAAGGGCAACAGCUGCAGUUAUUCCGUAACUGAUCGUAUGACACCUGCGUGACAAUGUCUUUAAACUACAAAUAGUCUGUGGACAUCGGUAGGAUAAAAAUUAUUGAUUUGACUGAUUUGUGAUGUCAGGUGUUUAGUAUGAAUGAAACAAAAAAAUUAAGUUAAUAAUGGAAAUACUAGCAUCUAGAUUUUAGUGUUGAUAAGAAGAGAACCAUGUCAUCACAGG
This is a long non-coding RNA of Pomacea canaliculata, 1075 nucleotides long. RefSeq lists it as uncharacterized. NCBI's taxonomy places the organism in Eukaryota, Metazoa, Mollusca, Gastropoda, Architaenioglossa, Ampullariidae. The transcript has 3 exons. The record is from RefSeq and is a predicted model, not a curated record.